GACGGGGACCCGCACAAGCAGCGGAGCAUGUGGUUUAAUUCGAAGCAACGCGAAGAACCUUACCAGAUCUUGACAUCCAAUUGACCAUCUUUUAAUCGAGAUUUUGCCUUCGGGUACAAUUGAGACAGGUGGUGCAUGGUUGUCGUCAGCUCGUGCCGUGAGGUGUCGGGUUAAGUCCCAUAACGAGCGCAACCCCUAUCAUUAGUUGCCAUCAGGUCAAGCUGGGGACUCUAAUGAAACUGCCUACGCAAGUAGUGAGGAAGGUGGGGAUGACGUCAAAUCAGCACGGCCCUUACGUCCAGGGCUACACACGUGCUACAAUGGCCGGUACAAAGGGCAGCUACCUGGUGACAGGAUGCUAAUCUCAAAAGCCGGUCUCAGUUCGGAUCGGAGUCUGCAACCCGACUCCGUGAAGCUGGAAUCGCUAGUAAUCGUGGAUCAGCCAAGCCGCGGUGAAUACGUUCCCGGGCCUU
RNAcentral lists this ribosomal RNA (473 nucleotides) under uncultured Sphingobacteriales bacterium. RNAcentral's name for it is "bacterial SSU rRNA". It matches the Rfam family "Bacterial small subunit ribosomal RNA", at positions 912 to 1382 of the family's 1533-position model. The record is from RNAcentral. Lineage: Bacteria; Pseudomonadati; Bacteroidota; Sphingobacteriia; Sphingobacteriales.